AGAAAUCUGAAAAUACAUCCAGCAUCACUAGGCAUCAGAGAAAUCCACGAGAAACCACAACCAAGAGGAGGAAAGUGAAGGCCAGUGAAGACAGGGUGUCAUGCAGCCCACCUGGGAUGCGGCACCAGCUUAGCAAUCUGCACUCCUGGCCCUCCAUCCAUUCAACACCACCUGUUCUUUCCUUCAAGUACUGGCAUGACAGACAAGUGCCACCAACUCAGCCAACCUAAGCUCUUUUUUGUAAGUAAAACAGAAUCCAAAUCGUGUCACUACUAUCAAA
RNAcentral lists this long non-coding RNA (280 nucleotides) under Rattus norvegicus (Norway rat). RNAcentral's name for it is "long non-coding RNA NONRATT008105". The record is from RNAcentral. Lineage: Eukaryota; Metazoa; Chordata; Mammalia; Rodentia; Muridae.